RNAcentral lists this long non-coding RNA (3055 nucleotides) under Zea mays. RNAcentral describes it as "long non-coding RNA (ZMAY_LNC000363)". The record is from RNAcentral. Lineage: Eukaryota; Viridiplantae; Streptophyta; Magnoliopsida; Poales; Poaceae.
GUCCAUCCUCGCCUCGCUCCGUCCACGCGCCCCACCCCAAAUCCCACCCAAAUUCGUCACUCACCUCGCCCCCAAAUCCGAGCCACCGCUCCGCUCUUCGCCGUCUUGCAGACGCCCAUGCCGCCGCCCUCUCCCCAAUGUCGCUGCUCCCUCCCAACGUCGUCUCCCCGCUCAAAUCCCUAAACCCCAUUGGCCCAGCAAGCGUGCGCGUAACCCAGCACCCACCGACGACUGCACCGGUCAUCGCUACCGCGCUACUUCGGCCCCUUUGCCGGCGACGAGCACCACCAGGUAAGCCCUCCCCUUGGUCUCCCCUUCCUGUUGUGCGAAGUCGUGCGCUGAAACCUUAACUUACUACGCCCUCCCCUUCUCCCUUCCUGCUGUGCGAAGCCGGGCCCCAACCCCACAAGUAAAGCAGUAGCAGCAUACCUUCUUGACCUAGCAAGCAAUGGGGCCACCGUUCCUCGCCGUAGUCGUCAUCGUCGCCUUCCUGGCCGCCACCGCGCAGGCCGACGACCCCUUCGCCUUCUUCGACUGAGUCGUCUCCUACAUCACCGCCUCCCCUCUCGGUGUCCCGCAGCAGGUCCGCACACUCAACUCUGCAUCUCAUUUCUCAUCCCCUUGCGCGCAACUGCAAUACGGUUUCGUCUCCCUUCCUGCUGCGCCGAAACUAUUAAGUUUCAGAUAUGAAUCUUGUAUAUGCAUGGAUUGUGCCUACUAACUUCGAUUGCUUUGCAAAAAUUAUCGGGUCGUUACACCCAUGUUCUUUACUGGGCCUGCCCCUGGGUGCGGUUUGGGGUGCGGCGGCCGGCGGGCGCAGGUGCGACUGGUUCUAGCCUUUUUUGUUUGAUUUCUUCCUCAAACCCUAAACCCUAAACAUGCUCACAAUUUUUUGUGACUUGGCAUUAUUAUGUAAUAAAAAUUGUACAUUUACUCAUCAUACAUACAUAUCCCUGUUGUCAACUCUCGCCCAUACAUUUUGGUUCUGCUAGGUAAUUUUGAUCAACAGACUGAGAAAUCUUGAGAAAUUGAUGUCAUGUGAAUAACUAAACUUGUGCUAGCUAUUAGUUAUUUAGUUUACUGACUACUUUGAUCGAGCUUGGAACUUUGUACUUCAAUCAGAAAACAACUAAGCAGGUCCAAAUCAAUGUUGCCAUAGUUUCCAAACAGACUGCAACUCUAGAAACAUAGAAUUAUCAUUGUAUUAUAUGAAUGAAAAUGUACACACUUGCAUCCAAGUGGGGGGAAUGGAGGUUGGGCGAUUUGGUUAGCGUCUGGGAUUUAUAUAUAACAUACAAUUGCUAAAAUCAUUAAGUUUUUGGAUUUUGGAUUUAUAUUUAUUUGUUUGCGAUCAAGCUAUUUAGGUUCAUCAAUUAAUUUGCAACAUCAUGUCAUAUUUAACUUAUAUGCAGACCCUCAAAGUUGAGGCUUACGCAUCAAACAUCUUUUGUGAGGCAACAUGCAAGCUGUUCGAGCAAAAGCACAAUCGUGAUCUAUUUUGUGAGUCAUUUCAUGGCUCCAGAAUGUCUCCAGAAUUUUACAACAAAUAAAAUUAGUAAUAAAAUGACAAUCGACCAACAAUAACGUGAUUGAACUAAACUUUAAUGCUUCUAAUGAUGUUUUGUGCACAUGGAGGGAUAAUUCAGAGUAGGCAACAUCAAAAUUUUGACUUGCAGAUGCUGAGUCUCAAUGUACCAAGUACUAUCCAAGUUGAAUCUUCAUCCCUGUGUGCUUAGCAUGGACGAUUAUUCUUUUGACAUGGGCCUCACUUCACUAUAACCUGCUAACAUGUGAUUGGAUAGAGAGCUGAAGGUGUAUAUGAACUUUUAGUACCUAUUAGCAACUCUAAGCAUGAUAGUGGAAUUAAUAGUUAACAUGUCGAUAUGCUUGCCAAAUUGUUCAGUGGUUUCAGUCAGAUGAGUUCAUAAAUCAUAAUUGCUAAGUGGCAACUCGUCAUUGUUAAUUGGAUGAAUCAUAACUUUUGCAGUCUUCUUAACUGAUAUCCUGAUAUAGAUAGUGCAGAAGUUAAAAUCUGUUAUUUAGUUACUACUUUCUCAUGAGGAUGUUUAUAUAGCUUACAGGCGAACAUUCUUAUAGUCUGUACAUUUAGCCAAACAAAAGUCAGACGGUGCUAUUGUGACCUAUAUGUUUGUAUAUUUUUUCAAUCGAUCAAGUUUGAUUCUGAGAUAUUUCUCUCGUGUUUAGAUAAAGAGAAUGACACAAUGUUCAAAGGAUACAAUCACACUUGCCUUUUUUGUUCAUAGGAUGGCCAAGUAUUUUGUUUCUCAUAUUUCUUCAACUGUUGUCGGCAAGCUAAUAUGAGCUUUGGUUUGCUACAACAAUUAGCAUCCAGUUAUAUAUACUUCUUUGAAGUGAGUAGGGAAUUGCUUCCAAAAAUAUUUCAAGAUUUUUUUUAAAAAAAACUUGCAAACACGACUACAUGCAUCAGAAUACAUUGUUUAGAUUGGUUAUUGGUACAUGAUCUAAGUGCUUGUUGUAUCUCAUUUACAGGUAUUGGCUGUGAUCGAGUAUCUCCUGGCUAAUGGAAGUGAACAUAUUAUCAACAAAAUUAUUGACGAUAGCUCAUGAGAUUAUUCAAACUGCAAAUAUAGUGAAACUUAAGAUAUUGUUCACUAGAAUAUAUCUACUAGCUCAUUUUUCAGACUGCAGAUAUAGAAAAUUUAUAGUUGAUUACCUUAAGAGUUCAUAUGGUCCCUUCAACAGGAAUGUGUCUGUUUUACUUCUGAAUUUACAGAAAAGAAUUCUUGAUUUAUAGCUUAUAUUGACAGUGUUGCCUGCUCUCCCCUCUCUCUCUCUCUCUAUCUCUCUGUGCGAUUAAAGUAUAACAUAUAAACUGUCCUUGGCCUGCUAAAGCUAUUAUUUUCAGUUUGCUUGCAUGGAACUCAUUAUUUUUACUGGCUCUGUUUUAUUUCUCCAAUAGGUCGAACACGUCACAAGGGUGAAGAGAAGUUCAUGCAAGCAUAUGACUUGAUUGAAGUAUACUUUAAACUUAUAGUAGCACGUGCAUGUCUGUCCAUUAUUGACUCACAGAAGU